CCCUGCCUGGCUCCCUGUAUGCCACCUGAGAAGCCCACCGAAGUGUUUCGGCAGGAUUCCUAGCUGGCGUGCGGGGAGCCAUGCAGAG
Selaginella moellendorffii is the source of this 88-nucleotide microRNA precursor. It matches the Rfam family "mir-160 microRNA precursor family". Rfam says of the family: The hairpin precursors (represented here) are predicted based on base pairing and cross-species conservation -- their extents are not known. In this case the mature sequence is excised from the 5' arm of the hairpin. Lineage: Eukaryota; Viridiplantae; Streptophyta; Lycopodiopsida; Selaginellales; Selaginellaceae. The record is from Rfam.